This 1329-nucleotide long non-coding RNA is filed under the name Brassica rapa (field mustard). RNAcentral's name for it is "long non-coding RNA (BRAP_LNC002967)". The record is from RNAcentral. Lineage: Eukaryota; Viridiplantae; Streptophyta; Magnoliopsida; Brassicales; Brassicaceae.
UAACAAUCAGAAACUACACCGCUAGAAUCCAUUCCAUCGGAGCAAGUCUAUCUUCGGCUUCAGAUUGCGAUGAACCAUCACACAAGAGUCGCAUUGUCAAGUCAAUCAAAGUUGCCACGAGCUACAGAGAUUUGGCCCAUCGUCAAAACCCACUCUGCUCCUACAGCUUCCUUAAUGUUCUGACUUUGCUAACCUGCAAAAUAGCACAAACGACCACUAACUCCCGAUAAGGCACCAGUGAAUGCAUUCGGAAUGGAUAACUCGUCCCGGUAAAAACCGGAGAUCUUGGAUAAAGGCGCAGCCGUAUGCCUCAACUGCUCCGAUCUAGCCACGACCUUUGCCGCACGGAUAGCUACUCCGCACUACCGCACGAGGAGUCCAUUCAUUCACCGGAGACACCCACGAUUGAGAGAGACGCUGCUCACAUAGGCACGAAAUAAAGGCUACUGCUUACCGAAGAGACCAGACAACGGAGCUCCUCAAGCUGUAAACCGCUCUUAUUUGGAAAAGAGAGAGACAACAGAGCUUGCCACAUCACCGAACCAUGAACGAGAGGAUCGAGUCUGCGACCCUUCUGAGAAAAUUCCAGGUAAACCGACAAGGUUAGACAGGAAAAGUCAUAAAGAAGCAGAGCUACACGCGCCGCCACCGAGUUCAGACAUGCGCCUACUGAACCCAACGCGCCGCCGCAUCAACAGCAGACCCAACAUCGCUCAUGUUGAGAAAGGCUUGACCACUUCCUGCAAAAAGCAGAGCCCAACCCCAAGACUUCCAACAAGAGCUAGAUCCGUGGACGGCACCAUAGCCACAUGGCCCGUAGAUCUGACAGAGUUGAAGCCUUACCGACGACCACACGCCAUCACUCUCAGAGCAAAACUCCCCAAGUCUUAGAUGGCCACAGUAAGCUCCGGAAGCAGGGAGUCAACGAGCCAGACAGAGUAGUCCUCAAACUCGCCAAAGCUCACCUCCUCGCUGACCAGAGAGUGGACCAGAUGGAGCAUUGGAGAACAGCCCCCAAGCCUAAACGAAAACAGAACUAUUUACCCGGAAAAAUUAUCAGACGCCAGAGAAGGGGAGGACAACCGCCGUGAGGACACUGCGAGAACCCAACCAACCAUUGCGGACAGAUCUGAACCCGAGUAAUAAGAACCGCACUCGUCACACAUCGAAGAAGAAAACAGAGGGAGGAAACGACGAAACAGAACAAAUGAAAAGAAAAAGGAGGAGACCAGCGGCGGAGCUGCGGUAGCCUCCCUAGCCGCCGGUCUCAGAUCUAGGGUUUUGAGAUGAGUUGUAAAGGGAGAUGUCGAGAGGGAGAGAAAAGAAGAG